GUAAGUAUAGUUUAACUAAAACGUUAGAUUGUGAUUCUAGAAACAGGAGUUAAAAUCCCCUUAUUCACC
This 69-nucleotide transfer RNA is filed under the name Candidia pingtungensis. Its description in RNAcentral is "tRNA-His". It matches the Rfam family "tRNA". Rfam says of the family: Transfer RNA (tRNA) molecules are approximately 80 nucleotides in length. Their secondary structure includes four short double-helical elements and three loops (D, anti-codon, and T loops). Further hydrogen bonds mediate the characteristic L-shaped molecular structure. tRNAs have two regions of fundamental functional importance: the anti-codon, which is responsible for specific mRNA codon recognition, and the 3' end, to which the tRNAs corresponding amino acid is attached (by aminoacyl-tRNA synthetases). tRNAs cope with the degeneracy of the genetic code in two manners: having more than one tRNA (with a specific anti-codon) for a particular amino acid; and 'wobble' base-pairing, i.e. permitting non-standard base-pairing at the 3rd anti-codon position. Lineage: Eukaryota; Metazoa; Chordata; Actinopteri; Cypriniformes; Xenocyprididae. The record is from RNAcentral.